This 461-nucleotide ribosomal RNA is filed under the name uncultured bacterium. RNAcentral's name for it is "bacterial SSU rRNA". It matches the Rfam family "Bacterial small subunit ribosomal RNA", at positions 28 to 507 of the family's 1533-position model. The record is from RNAcentral.
GAUGAACGCUGGCGGCGUGCUUAACACAUUCAAGUCGAACGGUGAUUGCCCUUCGGGGGCAUGAUCAGUGGCGACGGGUGAGUAACGCGUGAGCAAUCUGCCCUUAGGAGGGGAAUAACGUCUGGAAACGGACGCUAAUACCGCAUAAUGCAGCGAUACGGCAUCGUAAUGCUGCCAAAGAUUUAUCGCCUAAGGAUGAGCUCGCGUCUGAUUAGAUAGUUGGCGGGGUAACGGCCCACCAAGUCGACAAUCAGUAGCCGGACUGAGAGGUUGAACGGCCACAUUGGGACUGAGACACGGCCCAGACUCCUACGGGAGGCAGCAGUGGGGGAUAUUGCACAAUGGGGGAAACCCUGAUGCAGCGACGCCUCGUGAGGGAAGACGGUUUUCGGAUUGUAAACCUCUGUCUUCAGGGACGAAUUCUGACGGUACCUGAGGAGGAAGCGACGGCUAACUACGUG